This is a non-coding RNA of Pelobates cultripes (western spadefoot toad), 631 nucleotides long. Lineage: Eukaryota; Metazoa; Chordata; Amphibia; Anura; Pelobatidae. The record is from the annotation of a GenBank genome assembly.
AAAUGGCUCAACACUGACUGUCCUGGCCUGCGUGUAAAGGAUUAAACCCUUGGCGCUGGCCAGGUUUUCUCCUCCCGUGACUUUACUGAGCUGGUCUGACCUAAUGCACAGCACUUAUUUAGGUUUUCCCAUAGGAAAGCAUUGAAUCAAUGCUUUCAUAUGGGGAAUUCAAAAACGUUAGCUGUCCUCAUGCAAAGUGUGAGGAUGUCCAACGUCGUUGCAUGGAGUAAAUCUUUGUUAGGGCCCUUUAGUGGCUGUCUACCAGAGACUGUCUACCACAGGGAAUUUAUAUGUUGUGAUAGCUGACGCUCGUUCAUAUGACGGUUCAGUACUGCUGAAUAUCAUCCACUGAAAAAUAUUAUGGGAACCAUUUCAAAAAUCACAAAAGGUGCAAAAAUGGGCCAAUCAGCCUGCUGCUAAAUAUACUCAUAGUAUAAAGAUCAUGUACAUAUUUUGCAGUACACUAAUAGGUGCAUUUUCCCGCAAUUUUCCUAACAGAUUGUGAUGAGAGCCUGAGUGAACUCACUGAAAGGAAGGGGCGGGGCCGGAGGUGACUGGACGUAUUAACUGUCAUUUUUCAAAUGUAAUGCUGCUGCUGAAGAUGGUGGUCUAGCCCCAAGUUAAGCUCUGC